This 669-nucleotide long non-coding RNA is filed under the name Equus asinus (donkey). RNAcentral describes it as "lncRNA (ENSEASG00005024551.1)". The record is from RNAcentral. Lineage: Eukaryota; Metazoa; Chordata; Mammalia; Perissodactyla; Equidae.
CUCGGGCCGGCCCGGCCCACGGGGGCGGAGGGAGCUGCGGCGCUCUAGCCGAGGAGCCGGCGCCGGGGGCGGACGCGGAGCAGGCGUGGCGGAGCGGGGGGUCGGGCUACCUGCUGACGGGGAGCUGCCCUCGCUCCUCGCCCUCCCUGCGACCCCCACGCCGACCUCCAGCCGUUCCCUUGUGGUUCUGUAACGACGGGUUUUAGGAGCGUUUGGUGCUGUGACCCUGCAGAUGCUUUUACCGUCUUCAUUUCUUGGUCAAUGGCCCAGUCUUACUAGAGUGCGCUCUGCCGGUACGCCGCUUCAAAUCCUUUCCAGAAACUGAUCUCAAGAAAUUAGCAAGAUUGAUGAUGACUGCCAUAUUCCCACCAACACCAGAUUCCAUAACACAAACUAUGGAUAAUGAGGAAGAAGAGGUCCUGUUAUAGAUGACGUAUUAUCACUCUGAAGACUUGCCUAUUGGAAACAAGCUCUGGUGGUUGUAUUUUCUUUCUAUAUUACAAUCUGGUAAAGUGGUUGUUUAACAAUCUAUACCAGAUGAAUACAAUGAAACAAACAAAUUUAUUAAAAUAUACUAUAUUCAGAGAGCUAUGCUUCUUUCCAACACAUGGCCAGCCUAUGACUGAAGCUCUGGGCUCUUAAAAUCAUUAAAUUGAGUUGGGAAAAUUU